GCAGUAGCCGCGGGAAUACGGAGGGUGCAAGCGUUAUCCGGAUUUAUUGGGUUUAAAGGGUCCGUAGGCGGAUCUGUAAGUCAGUGGUGAAAUCUCACAGCUUAACUGUGAAACUGCCAUUGAUACUGCAGGUCUUGAGUAAAUUUGAAGUGGCUGGAAUAAGUAGUGUAGCGGUGAAAUGCAUAGAUAUUACUUAGAACACCAAUUGCGAAGGCAGGUCACUAAGAUUUAACUGACGCUGAUGGACGAAAGCGUGGGGAGCGAACAGGAUUAGAUACCCGUGUAGUCCCUGUCUCUUAUAC
RNAcentral lists this ribosomal RNA (302 nucleotides) under uncultured bacterium. RNAcentral describes it as "partial 16S ribosomal RNA". It matches the Rfam family "Bacterial small subunit ribosomal RNA", at positions 508 to 807 of the family's 1533-position model. The record is from RNAcentral.